RNAcentral lists this long non-coding RNA (627 nucleotides) under Felis catus (domestic cat). Its description in RNAcentral is "lncRNA (ENSFCAG00000044803.2)". The record is from RNAcentral. Lineage: Eukaryota; Metazoa; Chordata; Mammalia; Carnivora; Felidae.
GGGCGAGGAACAGGCGCCCGGGCCCCACGCGGGGAGCCAGCCAGCGCUUUGUGCGACGCUGCUGAAUGGAGCUGGUCUGUGUGCGCGCGGGCUUGCACGGAUUAGUCGUGCUUUCCCAUGAACUACAAAAGAACGCCCGAAUCUGGGACAUUUGUCAUCAAGGGGCAGGCUGCUCAGGAUGCAAGGUGACAGAGCCCUGGGUCCCACUGAAAGCAGAGUGGCAGUGGGCUGGAGGGAGACAGACUGGGGCUAACAGAGCAACCGAGGCGACAAGGACCUGAUACAGUCCAUGCACGGGCAAGAGCCACGCAAGCAACGCCUGGGACUGAAGGUCACGCUGCCUGGCUUUGUGGGGACAGAUGGCCGUCGCUCAUGAUGUUAGCAAGAAGCUUGACGCUGACUUCUGGACAUCAGCUGCUCACUGUGUAUAUUAAGUGAUAAUUUAGCUUCAGGUGGCCUCAGCCCUUGUGCUCUCUGAUCUCCCGCCACCUUAAUAGAAAACAUUUGGACGGCAGUACCUUGCUUCAGGAAAGUGCAGGCACUCCACAAGGAGACAAAAGCAGACUCAUUAAUGCACCUAAGAAUGAUCAUAAUAAACACUAUGGCCUCUGAUCUUUGGGUUCUGUG